This 428-nucleotide ribosomal RNA is filed under the name uncultured bacterium. Its description in RNAcentral is "partial 16S ribosomal RNA". It matches the Rfam family "Bacterial small subunit ribosomal RNA", at positions 354 to 796 of the family's 1533-position model. The record is from RNAcentral.
GUCGAGAAUCUUCCGCAAUGCGCGAAAGCGUGACGGAGCGACACCGCGUGAUGGAUGAAGUCCUUCGGGGCGUAAACAUCUUUUAUAAAGGAGGAAAUUUUUGACGUUACUUUAUGAAUAAGGGGCUCCCAAUCUCGUGCCAGCAGGAGCGGUAAUACGAGAGCCUCAAGCGUUAUCCGGAAUCAUUGGGCGUAAAGGGUGCGUAGGUGGUUUGAUUAUUCUCCCGUUAAAACGUCGAGCUUAACUCGAAAAGAGCGGGGGAAACGGUCAAAGUAGAGUAUGUGAGAGGUGUGUGGAACUCAUGGUGUAGGGGUGAAAUCCGUUGAUAUCAUGGGGAACACCAAAAGCGAAGGCAGCACACUGGCACAUCACUGACACUGAGGCACGAAACCUAAGGUAGCGAAUGGGAUUAGAUACCCGAGUAGUCC